Pelobates cultripes (western spadefoot toad) is the source of this 356-nucleotide non-coding RNA. NCBI's taxonomy places the organism in Eukaryota, Metazoa, Chordata, Amphibia, Anura, Pelobatidae. The record is from the annotation of a GenBank genome assembly.
GCCAAGUUCGGUUCAAUCUUUAAGCGUGUGUCACUGAGCCCACCCGACCUCCAAAUAGAGAGCUAUUUGGAUGGGAGGUUGGGGAGGCAAGGAAGCAGAGGAUACCUGGGGCUUGAGAGGCCAGAGGUCCGCGAACCAUUUUUUUCUGGAGACUGGGACUAAGCCGCCGCACGCCUGGAUCUCCUCGACGGUUCCGAGAAUAGUCGCAACCCUGUAAAAUGUUAACAUGCUGUAACUCGGGCACAGAUUAUCCGAUUACGGCACUAUUUGGACAGCGAGGGCACUCUGUGUGGGGGAAAGGCUUUAAUCACUGCUUUACAGGAGAGAAUGACUCCAGAGCUAUAACUGCUGCAGCU